AGAGCGAACGCUGGCGGCAUGCUUAACACAUGCAAGUCGCACGAUCGGGGGUAACUCCGGUAGUGGCGGACGGGUGAGUAACGCGUAGGUAUCUAUCCUUGGGUGGGGGACAACCACGGGAAACUGUGGCUAAUACCGCAUGACGACUGAGGUCCAAAGGCCGAAAGGUCGCCUGAGGAGGAGCCUGCGUCCGAUUAGCUUGUUGGUGGGGUAAUGGCCUACCAAGGCUGCGAUCGGUAGCUGGUCUGAGAGGAUGAUCAGCCACAUUGGGACUGAGACACGGCCCAAACUCCUACGGGAGGCAGCAGUGGGGAAUAUUGGACAAUGGGCGAAAGCCUGAUCCAGCAAUGCCGCGUGUGUGAAGAAGGUCUUCGGAUUGUAAAGCACUUUCGACGGGGACGAUGAUGACGGUACCCGUAGAAGAAGCCCCGGCUAACUUCGUGCCAGCAGCCGC
RNAcentral lists this ribosomal RNA (454 nucleotides) under uncultured bacterium. Its description in RNAcentral is "SSU rRNA". It matches the Rfam family "Bacterial small subunit ribosomal RNA", at positions 26 to 518 of the family's 1533-position model. The record is from RNAcentral.